GCACGCGUUUCGCUUGGUUUGGCCGCAGCGCCGAUCUUCAUCUCGCCUCUCUUUAUUGCGGCGCCCUUGGUUGCUUAGCAACUGCUGAAGGCCCCCCCCCUGCGUUUUGACUACGCUGAGUCGCUUCCUCAGAGAGCCCAGGCAGGCUGGCAGCGGCGCUGGGAUGCCGCCGUGGAAUGCCAUGCACGCUCCGCCGCGGUGCUCCCAUUUCCGGCAACCCCACAGAAACGAAGGGUCCAGCUGCGUGGCGGCCCCUAACCCUNGUCCGCCUUUGCCCAACGGAGAGCGGCGCAACAGCCGCCAUGAGCAGGAGUCGACAGCAGCAGAGCACCCGACUGGAGCCGCGGGGUCGGGAUUUACGGGCACAUAAUAGUAAGCUUCCAGAAAUCUCUUGCACUCAAGAAUGCAGACCUGUUGUUGCUCAGCCACCAAAAGAACAAAAAUUGCCAAUCCUCACAUCUGGUCACAAAUAUCUGGAUAACAAAGUAUCAGUAAAAUCAUUUGGGAGUCACAUUUUUGAGAACAGUUGGAAGAAUGCAGUGAUAAAAACAAAAAGGAUAAAACAAGAAUAUACAUCUGCAUAUGGCUUGAAUGACUCCAGUGAAAAUCUGGCAAUGCCAAGUCUUGCUCAGGAGGAAUAUCCUGCAAUACCAAACCCUUCUCCUGUUACACAGAAGACACAAGGUGCUGCUAAUUCAUUUCCAGACAGCUCUUACAACAACGACGGCAACUGUUUUCCAUCUUCGUACUUGCAUUCAUGUAUUUCAUCACAGUGUAUUAUUGAAAGCUUACAUAAAAACAGAGAUGCAGCCAUGGGGGAUGUAAACAAAAGAGGGGCNUAUUCCUGGAAGCCAGGUCUCCUGAAGUCACCUGGGAUACACAGUGGAGCUGGAGAAUUUGGUGCCAUAAGGCUAAAAAAGUUCAACCGGUGUUCCAGCCUCAUUUCAUUUCCUCCAGGAUGCAAAUUCCAGUCUGGUUAUCGUUUUAUAGACCCUGUGAAUGGAGCACCUCCUCAGUACCUCCAGAGGCUUUCUGAACUAGCUGCCUUGGAAUGUGAAACUGUUCAUCAAGAGAGAACCAGAAAAAUUAGGAGGACCAAACAACAGGAGACGUAG
This 1115-nucleotide long non-coding RNA is filed under the name Salvator merianae (Argentine black and white tegu). Its description in RNAcentral is "lncRNA (ENSSMRG00000011175.1)". Lineage: Eukaryota; Metazoa; Chordata; Lepidosauria; Squamata; Teiidae. The record is from RNAcentral.